Molecule: long non-coding RNA, 1358 nt
Filed under: Sorghum bicolor (sorghum)
Lineage: Eukaryota; Viridiplantae; Streptophyta; Magnoliopsida; Poales; Poaceae
Description: long non-coding RNA (SBIC_LNC014954)
Source: RNAcentral
UUAUAAGUGAUAUGGUUCAAUUAGGAGAUGUAAACUAUUUUCUUAGCAACUAUGCAUAAUAAUGUCGUACAUUCACAACAGGAUCUUGGUUUUCUAGUCGACUUCCCUAGCAGGUUUUAUUUACUGCAUCGAUGAUAAUAUUUUAUUUAACUUGUGUGAGUAGAAUCCAUGGGUUGCAUAUCAGCAGCUGAACAAGACUUUGAUUUGUUACUAAUCGUACUUGCCUGUUUUCCUUUUGCUACCAACAUGCUCUUAACAUCUUUCUCUGAACCCACCCGACCUGUGUUUCUUCUCCUCCAUUCCAUUCCGUGACCCAGUAAACCCACCUAAGCACAUCACUCGAAUACCCAGCCUCAACAAAAUUAAGAGCUAACACAUUGUCCUGCAAACCUGAGCUGCUGGAACUAGAAACACACUCUGAGCUGCUGGAAUACGCACUCCUGUUAACAGAAUGUCCUUGCCCAUGCACAUCAUCCUGCCCCAUGAUGUCUGGAACUACCAGCUGUUAUGCAUGGAGAUUCUUGGCAGUAGACUCCCCGAUGGCAAGAACCUUGUCCAGUGUCUGGGCAGCAACGCAAACGACAUUUCAAGGAUUCUAGAGAUUUGCGGUGCCGAUGAGCUUCUUUGUCUUCAUUCGGACUACCACUUUAUGUUUUGCCAUAAGAACCUAAGUAGAUGAGGUAUGCUUAAUCUGCAUAUGUCAAAUCUUUUUUGACAGUUCUACUCUAUGUAUCUCUCCUGGCUUCCCUGAGUGUGACCUCUGUGAAUAUGAGCAGCUUCAUCAGUCUCUAUACGACUUCCUAUGUUGGCUGCUCCGUCUCCGUCUUGUCCUUCUAUAGGGUUUCCAGGACAAAUCAAUAUCCAAACACACAGCUGCAGGAUCACCCAAAUCGGAUUGAACAAAUGAAAGAAUAAAUUGGUUGGAUAUUUUGUCUACACUAACCUGGUUGACAAACAUGUUAUAAGAGACAGUGUUGUACCGUUGAUGAUUGUAACAUAUCACCAGUUUUUACGCACAGUUUGGGAAAAUAGCGUUGGUACAAACCAUUUCUAUUGUAAUGAAGGGUGGUGGUUUCUAGUGGGAGAAAUGGAUGUUGCGGAGAUGACAGAGUUGUGUUGUUAGAGUCGGGGAGAAAUGGGAGCGAGGAGAACGGGUUUUGUGUUGGAUGACAGAUGCGGGGAAGAGGGACUUAUGGUUUUCUUGUGAUUUAGUUAACAAGGCUUCAGUUAAUUUCAGGCCACGCAACUAUCUACCUGUGAAAAUUAACUUCUAGAAGUGGUUGGUUUAAGAGGUCUGUCUCUAGUGAAAUCUCAGAUUGAUUAUUUACAGGUAGAUCAAAAUCUUCGUGUUGGCUUCA